RNAcentral lists this ribosomal RNA (1376 nucleotides) under Plantibacter sp. RNAcentral describes it as "bacterial SSU rRNA". Lineage: Bacteria; Bacillati; Actinomycetota; Actinomycetes; Micrococcales; Microbacteriaceae. The record is from RNAcentral.
ACGAUGAAGCCCAGCUUGCUGGGUGGAUUAGUGGCGAACGGGUGAGUAACACGUGAGUAACCUGCCCUUGACUCUGGGAUAAGCGUUGGAAACGACGUCUAAUACCGGAUACGAGCUUCCACCGCAUGGUGAGUUGCUGGAAAGAAUUUUGGUCAAGGAUGGACUCGCGGCCUAUCAGCUUGUUGGUGAGGUAACGGCUCACCAAGGCGACGACGGGUAGCCGGCCUGAGAGGGUGACCGGCCACACUGGGACUGAGACACGGCCCAGACUCCUACGGGAGGCAGCAGUGGGGAAUAUUGCACAAUGGGCGAAAGCCUGAUGCAGCAACGCCGCGUGAGGGACGACGGCCUUCGGGUUGUAAACCUCUUUUAGCAGGGAAGAAGCGAAAGUGACGGUACCUGCAGAAAAAGCACCGGCUAACUACGUGCCAGCAGCCGCGGUAAUACGUAGGGUGCAAGCGUUGUCCGGAAUUAUUGGGCGUAAAGAGCUCGUAGGCGGUUUGUCGCGUCUGCUGUGAAAUCCCGAGGCUCAACCUCGGGUCUGCAGUGGGUACGGGCAGACUAGAGUGCGGUAGGGGAGAUUGGAAUUCCUGGUGUAGCGGUGGAAUGCGCAGAUAUCAGGAGGAACACCGAUGGCGAAGGCAGAUCUCUGGGCCGCUACUGACGCUGAGGAGCGAAAGGGUGGGGAGCAAACAGGCUUAGAUACCCUGGUAGUCCACCCCGUAAACGUUGGGCGCUAGAUGUGGGGACCAUUCCACGGUUUCCGUGUCGUAGCUAACGCAUUAAGCGCCCCGCCUGGGGAGUACGGCCGCAAGGCUAAAACUCAAAGGAAUUGACGGGGGCCCGCACAAGCGGCGGAGCAUGCGGAUUAAUUCGAUGCAACGCGAAGAACCUUACCAAGGCUUGACAUAUACGAGAACGGGCCAGAAAUGGUCAACUCUUUGGACACUCGUAAACAGGUGGUGCAUGGUUGUCGUCAGCUCGUGUCGUGAGAUGUUGGGUUAAGUCCCGCAACGAGCGCAACCCUCGUUCUAUGUUGCCAGCACGUWAUGGUGGGAACUCAUGGGAUACUGCCGGGGUCAACUCGGAGGAAGGUGGGGACGACGUCAAAUCAUCAUGCCCCUUAUGUCUUGGGCUUCACGCAUGCUACAAUGGCCAGUACAAAGGGCUGCAAUACCGUAAGGUGGAGCGAAUCCCAAAAAGCUGGUCCCAGUUCGGAUUGAGGUCUGCAACUCGACCUCAUGAAGUCGGAGUCGCUAGUAAUCGCAGAUCAGCAACGCUGCGGUGAAUACGUUCCCGGGCCUUGUACACACCGCCCGUCAAGUCAUGAAAGUCGGUAACACCCGAAGCCAGUGGCCUAACCGCAAGGAUGGAGC